GCGUUGUCCGGAAUUAUUGGGCGUAAAGCGCGCGCAGGCGGUUCCUUAAGUCUGAUGUGAAAGCCCACGGCUCAACCGUGGAGGGGCAUUGGAAACUGGGGGACUUGAGUGCAGAAGAGGAGAGCGGAAUUCCACGUGUAGCGGUGAAAUGCGUAGAGAUGUGGAGGAACACCAGUGGCGAAGGCGGCUCUCUGGUCUGUAACUGACGCUGAGGCGCGAAAGCGUG
This 226-nucleotide ribosomal RNA is filed under the name uncultured bacterium. RNAcentral describes it as "partial 16S ribosomal RNA". It matches the Rfam family "Bacterial small subunit ribosomal RNA", at positions 538 to 763 of the family's 1533-position model. The record is from RNAcentral.